RNAcentral lists this ribosomal RNA (301 nucleotides) under uncultured bacterium. RNAcentral describes it as "partial 16S ribosomal RNA". It matches the Rfam family "Bacterial small subunit ribosomal RNA", at positions 509 to 808 of the family's 1533-position model. The record is from RNAcentral.
CAGCAGCCGCGGGAAUACGUAGGGUGCGAGCGUUAAUCGGAAUUACUGGGCGUAAAGCGUGCACAGGCGGUUAUGUAAGACAGGUGUGAAAUCCCCGGGCUUAACCUGGGAACUGCGCUUGUGACUGCACAGCUAGAGUAUGGCAGAGGGGGGUGGAAUUCCACGUGUAGCAGUGAAAUGCGUAGAGAUGUGGAGGAACACCGAUGGCGAAGGCAGCCCCCUGGGCCAAUACUGACGCUCAUGCACGAAAGCGUGGGGAGCAAACAGGAUUAGAUACCCCAGUAGUUCCCUGUCUCUUAUU